This 253-nucleotide ribosomal RNA is filed under the name uncultured bacterium. Its description in RNAcentral is "partial 16S ribosomal RNA". It matches the Rfam family "Bacterial small subunit ribosomal RNA", at positions 524 to 776 of the family's 1533-position model. The record is from RNAcentral.
UACAGAGGUCCCAAGCGUUGUUCGGAUUCACUGGGCGUAAAGGGUGCGUAGGCGGUUUGACAAGUCUGAUGUGAAAUCCCGCAGCUUAACUGCGGAACUGCAUUGGAAACUGUUUGACUAGAGGAAUGGAGGGGAGACUGGAAUACUUGGUGUAGCAGUGAAAUGCGUAGAGAUCAUGAGGAAGACCAGUGGCGAAGGCGGGUCUCUGGACAGUUCCUGACACUGAGACACGAAGGCCAGGGGAGCAAACGGG